This 467-nucleotide ribosomal RNA is filed under the name uncultured Ochrobactrum sp. RNAcentral describes it as "bacterial SSU rRNA". It matches the Rfam family "Bacterial small subunit ribosomal RNA", at positions 1 to 523 of the family's 1533-position model. Lineage: Bacteria; Pseudomonadati; Pseudomonadota; Alphaproteobacteria; Hyphomicrobiales; Brucellaceae. The record is from RNAcentral.
UAGAGUUUGAUCCUGGCUCAGAACGAACGCUGGCGGCAGGCUUAACACAUGCAAGUCGAGCGCCCCGCAAGGGGAGCGGCAGACGGGUGAGUAACGCGUGGGAAUCACCUUUUGCUACGGAAUAACUCAGGGAAACUUGUGCUAAUACCGUAUGUGCCCUUCGGGGGAAAGAUUUAUCGGCAAAGGAUGAGCCCGCGUUGGAUUAGCUAGUUGGUGGGGUAAAGGCCCACCAAGGCGACGAUCCAUAGCUGGUCUGAGAGGAUGAUCAGCCACACUGGGACUGAGACACGGCCCAGACUCCUACGGGAGGCAGCAGUGGGGAAUAUUGGACAAUGGGCGCAAGCCUGAUCCAGCCAUGCCGCGUGAGUGAUGAAGGCCCUAGGGUUGUAAAGCUCUUUCACCGGUGAAGAUAAUGACGGUAACCGGAGAAGAAGCCCCGGCUAACUUCGUGCCAGCAGCCGCGGUAA